This 314-nucleotide long non-coding RNA is filed under the name Gossypium raimondii (Peruvian cotton). RNAcentral describes it as "long non-coding RNA (GRAI_LNC000305)". Lineage: Eukaryota; Viridiplantae; Streptophyta; Magnoliopsida; Malvales; Malvaceae. The record is from RNAcentral.
UAUGGAGGAGGUGGGGAGUGGAUUGGUGGUGGUGGAGACUUGUGAAUAUAAGGAGGGGGUGGUGAAUGAACUGGUGGUGGUGGAGACUUGUAGAUAUAUGGUGGAGGUGGGGACUGGACUGGUGGUGGUGGAGACUUAUAGACAUAUGGAGGAGGAGGAGAGUGGACUGGUGGUGGUGGAGACUUGUAAAUGUAAGGAGGGGGUGGUGAAUGGACUGGUGGUGGUGGGGACUUAUAGAUGUAGGGUGGAGGUGGUGAAUGGAUAGGUGGUGGAGGGGACUUAUAUAUGUAAGGAGGAGGUGGAGAAUGGACUGG